RNAcentral lists this ribosomal RNA (774 nucleotides) under uncultured Neocallimastigales. RNAcentral's name for it is "partial large subunit ribosomal RNA". It matches the Rfam family "Eukaryotic large subunit ribosomal RNA", at positions 26 to 644 of the family's 3401-position model. The record is from RNAcentral. Lineage: Eukaryota; Fungi; Neocallimastigomycota; Neocallimastigomycetes; Neocallimastigales.
CGCAUCUGUGCAUGCAGCAUAUCAAUAAGCGGAGGAAAAGAAACUAACAAGGAUUCCCCUAGUAACGGCGAGUGAAGCGGGAAGAGCUCAAAUUUGAAAUCUUAAAGGGUUUCCCUUUACGAAUUGUAGUUUAAAGAAGUGUUUUCUGUUGAGGUUUUGGUAAAAGUUCUUUGGAAUAGGACAUCAUAGAGGGUGAGAAUCCCGUAUUUGACCUUUACUUUCAACUUUGUGAUACACUUUCAAAGAGUCGGAUUGUUUGGGAAUGCAGUCCAAAAUGGGUGGUAAAUUUCAUCUAAAGCUAAGUAUUGGCGAGAGACCGAUAGAGAACAAGUACCGUGAGGGAAAGAUGAAAAGAACUUUGAAAAGAGAGUUAAACAGUACGUGAAAUUGUCAAAAGGGAAGCGUUUGACACCAGUGUUGUUUUUCUGAAAAUCAAUUAAAGAACUGUUUAUGCUAAGCUGUUUAGACUUUAUCAGCUAACUGUUUAGUUUUGAGCUUUUCUUUAAUGCACUUUUCAGUUAACAAGUCAACAUCAAUUUCUUUUGCUGUAAAAAAGCUUGAGGAAGGUGGCUUGAGAUUCGUCUUAAGUGUUUAUAGCCUCUUGCCUAUGCAGUCGGAGAGAUUGAGGUCUGCAGCGUAGAUCCUUCGGGGCUAAAUGCAUUUGUGCUAAGUUAUAGCAUUUUAUAGACAACUUGUUGACUAUGAUUUGUCUUGUAGCUUACUCGCUUAUGUUAUUUUACCUACGCUUAGGAUGUUGAAUCUGUGCGAGACUAC